Molecule: ribosomal RNA, 497 nt
Filed under: uncultured bacterium
Lineage: Bacteria
Description: partial 16S ribosomal RNA
Rfam family: Bacterial small subunit ribosomal RNA
Source: RNAcentral
GAUGAACGCUGGCGGCGUGCCCAAUACAUGCAAGUCGAGCGAACGGACGAGAAGCUUGCUUUUCUGAUGUUAGCGGCGGACGGGUGAGUAACACGUGGAUAACCUACCUAUAAGACUGGGAUAACUUCGGGAAACCGGAGCUAAUACCGGAUAAUAUUUUGAACCGCAUGGUUCAAAAGUGAAAGACGGUCUUGCUGUCACUUAUAGAUGGAUCCGUGCUGCAUUAGCUAGUUGGUAAGGUAACGGCUUACCAAGGCAACGAUGCAUAGCCGACCUGAGAGGGUGAUCGGCCACACUGGAACUGAGACACGGUCCAGACUCCUACGGGAGGCAGCAGUAGGGAAUCUUCCGCAAUGGGCGAAAGCCUGACGGAGCAACGCCGCGUGAGUGAUGAAGGUCUUCGGAUCGUAAAACUCUGUUAUUAGGGAAGAACAUAUGUGUAAGUAACUGUGCACAUCUUGACGGUACCUAAUCAGAAAGCCACGGCUAACUACGUG